CUCCGUAUAGCUCAAUUGGCUAGAGUACUCCGUUUGGGGCGGAGGGGUUGAAGGUUCGAGUCCUUCUAUGGAGA
RNAcentral lists this transfer RNA (74 nucleotides) under Erwinia phage FBB1. It matches the Rfam family "tRNA". From Rfam's summary of the family: Transfer RNA (tRNA) molecules are approximately 80 nucleotides in length. Their secondary structure includes four short double-helical elements and three loops (D, anti-codon, and T loops). Further hydrogen bonds mediate the characteristic L-shaped molecular structure. tRNAs have two regions of fundamental functional importance: the anti-codon, which is responsible for specific mRNA codon recognition, and the 3' end, to which the tRNAs corresponding amino acid is attached (by aminoacyl-tRNA synthetases). tRNAs cope with the degeneracy of the genetic code in two manners: having more than one tRNA (with a specific anti-codon) for a particular amino acid; and 'wobble' base-pairing, i.e. permitting non-standard base-pairing at the 3rd anti-codon position. Lineage: Duplodnaviria; Heunggongvirae; Uroviricota; Caudoviricetes; Pantevenvirales; Straboviridae. The record is from Rfam by way of RNAcentral.